CCGCGCGCUCGGCGGCGGCGAUGACGUCGACUGCCUGCCAGGCGGCGAAGUUCGAGAUGCCCAGCGCGGUGAUCUUGCCUUCGGCGCGCAGG
Molecule: transfer RNA, 92 nt
Filed under: Brevibacterium sediminis
Lineage: Bacteria; Bacillati; Actinomycetota; Actinomycetes; Micrococcales; Brevibacteriaceae
Description: tRNA-Gly
Source: RNAcentral